ACCGCCCUUAGUUUAGUUUAGAAUAGCAGUUUGUCGUAUUGUUGGUGGUAUUUGCCAGAGCGGUG
This 65-nucleotide transfer RNA is filed under the name Glypthelmins quieta. Its description in RNAcentral is "tRNA-Asp". Lineage: Eukaryota; Metazoa; Platyhelminthes; Trematoda; Plagiorchiida; Plagiorchiidae. The record is from RNAcentral.